Molecule: long non-coding RNA, 450 nt
Filed under: Sinocyclocheilus grahami
Lineage: Eukaryota; Metazoa; Chordata; Actinopteri; Cypriniformes; Cyprinidae
Description: lncRNA (ENSSGRG00000022326.1)
Source: RNAcentral
GGUCAGUGUGCCAGCGUCAGUGGGAUGAUGGCCCAUCUGUGGAUGUUUCCACAUCUGCACACUCUUAAUACUGUAAUCCAGCAUCACACACAAAUUACACCCACGCCGUUCAGUGUCUAGCCGAAACGAAGUGGACUGUGUGCGGUGAUCGGUGCUCAGGAAGACAUUAAAUAUGACCUGAGUAACAAGGAUGCCUGCAGCCAUGAGUUGCUAAAGGAAGAGUUGAGGCUACUACCGCUGAGCAGUAAGAUAAGCAUGUUAACACACCAAAAGAAACCAGCCUCUAGGUCCUGUAGUUUGGGCGAUACGGUGCUAAGAAGUCAUACCUUUCACUCCACAUGUCAAGGAAGAGAUGAGAUCCUUGAAGAUGAGGAAUCCCCACGCCAAAGGAGGAUAACUGUUGGUAAAGACGUGAUGUGACCUUAUAUUGUGACCCAUUGCCUGAAUUAC